AUUGAACGCUGGCGGCAUGCCUUACACAUGCAAAUCGAACGGUAACGGGCCUUCGGGUGCCGACGAGUGGCGAACGGGUGAGUAAUACAUCGGAACGUGCCCGAUCGUGGGGGAUAACGAGGCGAAAGCUUUGCUAAUACCGCAUACGAUCGACGGAUGAAAGCAGGGGACCGCAAGGCCUUGCGCGGACGGAGCGGCCGAUGGCAGAUUAGGUAGUUGGUGGGCUAAAAGCUUACCAAGCCGACGAUCUGUAGCUGGUCUGAGAGGAUGAUCAGCCACACUGGGACUGGGACACGGCCCAGACUCCUACGGGAGGCAGCAGUGGGGAAUUUUGGACAAUGGGCGCAAGCCUGAUCCAGCCAUGCCGCGUGCAGGAUGACGGCCUUCGGGUUGUAAACUGAUUUUGUACGGAACGAAAAGCCUUCUUUUAAUACAGGAGGGUCAUGACGGUACCGGAAGAAUAAGCACCGGCUAACUACGUG
RNAcentral lists this ribosomal RNA (482 nucleotides) under uncultured bacterium. RNAcentral describes it as "partial 16S ribosomal RNA". It matches the Rfam family "Bacterial small subunit ribosomal RNA", at positions 30 to 507 of the family's 1533-position model. The record is from RNAcentral.